CCAGUAUCGCCUUUGUUGUUGUUAGCUUGUUACAAACGAGGCGAAGCCGAAAAGUGCGAAACAAAACUGUAGCUAAUUUAUACUUAUAUUCCUGCGAUUUCAAUUACAAAAUUGAAUUUCGUAUCAUGUUCUUCUAGAUGCAUACUGUCAGUGUAAGUCAUUCCAACAAGUUGACUUAGCACUCAGUCAACUUCCAUUCAUUAGCCCCAUCAUGCUGUCAAAAGCCUAAAACUCAUGUUUGAAGACCACAUGUAGUAGAAUACAAAUCUGCCGAGAUAAGGUAUCCUGAACCAUAAGACUUUUCUGAAUCUUGCAAUUUUUGUGGUGAACCCUGCAACAGCAUGUUUGUUGUUAUGGAUGCUACUGCAAUACUUCAUGACACUUUCUUUGACAUCAGGAAAUUUACAUCAACCUAAGGAGUAAUGCUGUUUGUUGCUGUGAAUUCAAUUUUUACAGUUUUUUCAUCGUGAACAUUUCAGUGUGCUUCUUAAAAAAGAGCACGGAGAUUCUUUUGCCAAUGCUGACCUUUGUCAAUGACGGAAGAAGGAUUUUCAACAACAUUCUUCUCCAUCCUUAUCUUCGCGACGCACGCUCAUCUAGCUUCACUGCUUUUAAACAAGAUUUGUUUUACUUCACUGACGACUUGGCGAGUUUCUGGACCACUUCAAGAUCGCUUCCGUCAGCUGUUACACACCUGCAGUCACUCACCACGGGAUUAUGCCUAGAUGAUGCAGAGGAGACGUCGAGAAGAUUGACACCAAAACAUCGCCGGUAUCUCC
Molecule: long non-coding RNA, 779 nt
Organism: Daphnia pulicaria
Lineage: Eukaryota; Metazoa; Arthropoda; Branchiopoda; Diplostraca; Daphniidae
Exons: 5
Source: RefSeq, a predicted model, not a curated record